RNAcentral lists this ribosomal RNA (375 nucleotides) under uncultured bacterium. RNAcentral's name for it is "bacterial SSU rRNA". It matches the Rfam family "Bacterial small subunit ribosomal RNA", at positions 28 to 405 of the family's 1533-position model. The record is from RNAcentral.
GAUGAACGCUGGCGGCGUGCUUAACACAUGCAAGUCGAACGUGAACCAGUAGCAAUAUUGGUGAAAGUGGCGGACGGGUGAGUAACACGUGGGUGACCUGCCUUGCAGUGGGGGAUAACGAGGGGAAACCUUCGCUAAUACCGCAUAGGCUUACACUGAUGGGAAUGGUGUGGGUAAAAUUUCGGUGCUGCAAGAGGGGCCUGCGUCCGAUUAGCUAGUUGGUGAGGUAAUGGCUCACCAAGGCGAUGAUCGGUAGCUGGUCUGAGAGGACGAUCAGCCACACGGGAACUGAGAAACGGUCCCGACUCCUACGGGGGGCAGCAGUGAGGAAUAUUGGGCAAUGGACGGAAGUCUGACCCAGCAACGCCGCGUGGA